UGUUUAAAUCGCUCCCCAACUGUCAUUUUGGAAGAACAACAGGGCAAAGCCACGGCUUUCAACUGUUUUAAGAAAAGCACAUGGAUACAUUUGUGAGAGAAAAACUCGUCGAGUGCAGUCUUAUUGAGGCGUCUAACGGUUGGAACAAACAUGGAAUUCCUUAACCGAGCAGAGUCCACAAAACCCCAUCCAAUUGUCGUGGCGAUUUAAAAAUGCCAGCAGGUCUCUCAUACAUUGAUUAUAAUCAAUGGACAGGUAAGGAUAUUCUGGACUAUUUUCAAA
This is a long non-coding RNA of Carassius gibelio (silver crucian carp), 282 nucleotides long. RefSeq lists it as uncharacterized. The record is from RefSeq and is a predicted model, not a curated record. The transcript has 3 exons. Lineage: Eukaryota; Metazoa; Chordata; Actinopteri; Cypriniformes; Cyprinidae.